Molecule: non-coding RNA, 527 nt
Organism: Vicugna pacos (alpaca)
Lineage: Eukaryota; Metazoa; Chordata; Mammalia; Artiodactyla; Camelidae
Source: the annotation of a RefSeq genome assembly
CUAAGGCAGCCCAGCCCCAGUGUGGGGACCAGGGGACUGUGAGCACCAUGGCCUGGACUCCUCUCCUGCUCCUGCUCCUCUCUCACUGCACAGUGUCCCUCUCCCAGCUUGUGGUGACUCAGCCGCCCUCCCUCUCUGCAUCUCCGGGAUCAUCUGUCAGACUCACCUGCACCCUGAGCAGUGGGAACAGUGUUGGCAGCUAUGACAUAAGUUGGUACCAGCAGAAGGCAGGGAGCCCUCCCCGGUACCUCCUGUACUACUACUCAGACUCCAGCAAGCACCAGGGCUCCGGGGUCCCGAGCCGCUUCUCUGGGUCCAAAGAUGCCUCGGCCAAUGCAGGGCUUCUGCUCAUCUCUGGGCUGCAGCCCGAGGACGAGGCUGACUAUUACUGCUCUGCAUACAAGAGUGGUUCAUACAAUUCACACAGUGCCCCAGACCCAAAGGGAAGUGAGACUAAAACCUCCCCUGUGCUCUCCCCGCUGGGCCAUUCCUGCGCUGUGCCUGGGACCAGGUCGCACUCAGGGUGA